RNAcentral lists this long non-coding RNA (331 nucleotides) under Ananas comosus (pineapple). RNAcentral describes it as "long non-coding RNA (ACOM_LNC024385)". The record is from RNAcentral. Lineage: Eukaryota; Viridiplantae; Streptophyta; Magnoliopsida; Poales; Bromeliaceae.
UGUAGGAUACCAAACUUCUGAAAAUAGGAAGUUACGGUAGGAUAGUAUGUCGGAGUUUAUUAUAAAAAUAAAUAUAAAUAAAAAUAGUGUGAGAUACUAUUUUAUUGGACUCAUAGAAGUAAAGUAUAAGUUGGGAAUGACUGUGCUGAAAUCGGAGCGAAAACCGAAGAUUUAGAAUUUUCUGUGAGGAAUGGGGCAGAUAAAUUAGCAGAAAAUGCACAGUGUCAGAAAAUUAUGAAAACUGGAGGAUAUGUCAGAAUUAUUUUUAUGAGGCUAGAUUUAAAGUUUCAGCCCAUUCUGACACCCGGAAGGUGGAGAAUAAAAUCGAACN